AAACUAUUGUCUUUCUCUCUGUUUGAGUCAAGUACUCACCACAUUUUAUACACUGCAGUGCUAGCUAGCUGUAGUUUAUACUUUCUGUACUAGAUUAAUUAUAUGAUCCUUUGAUUGGGUGGACAACAUGUCAGUUCAUGCUGCAAGAGCUCUGAUAGGCUGGAGGAUGUCCUACGGAAGUUGUCAUAAUUACUGUCUAAGUCUAUGGAAGGGGGUGAGAACCAUGAGCCUCCUAGAUGUUGUAUUGAAGGCAAUGUACCCAGAUGAGGACGGAAGCUUGCUGUCCUCUGCCUACACCAUGGUGCUACCCUACAGAGUGCUGUUGAGGCUACUGUAGACCUUCUUUGCAAAAUAGUGUGUUUUAAUCAGUUAUUUGGUGACGUGAUUAUGUUUAGUAUAGUUUGAUCUAAAAAGGAUAUGUUUUUAAUGUUUUACAAUUUACAUUUUUAUGAAAUUCAAUGAGGAGGAUGGUCCUCCCCUUCCUCCUCUGAGGAGCCUCCACUGCCCCCCACACACCAUACAGACACACCGUUGAGAGGAGCACAGGAUCAAGCUGCAGUGCAACGCCCCUGAAUGGAGAGCAUGUUGCGGAGUUAAUGGCUUUGCUCAAGGGUGCAACGCGCCCGGCCCAGGAUUCAAACAGGCCGCCUUUCGGCAACAGGUCUAACUCCUUAACCGCUGGGCUACCUACCACCCAUAUUCACAGAAAGUUUACCAACAAGUUUGUUUAAACCUCAAAAGGUUCUACAGCUGCACCAUCGAGAGCAUCCUGACUGGUUUGGCAAAUGCUCGGCCUCCGACUGCAAGGCACUACAGAGGGUAGUGCGUACGGCCCAGUACAUCACUGGGGCCAAGCUUCCUGCCAUCCAGGACCUCUAUACCAGGCGGUGUCAGAGGAAGGCCAUAAAAAUUGUCAAAGACUCCAGCCCCCCUAGUCAUAGAAUGUUCUCUCUGCUACCGCAUGGCAAGCGGUACCGGAGCGCCAAGUCUAGGUCCAAGAGGCUUCUAAACAGCUUCUACCCCC
This 1024-nucleotide long non-coding RNA is filed under the name Salmo salar (Atlantic salmon). RNAcentral describes it as "lncRNA (ENSSSAG00000102603.1)". The record is from RNAcentral. Lineage: Eukaryota; Metazoa; Chordata; Actinopteri; Salmoniformes; Salmonidae.